GAUGAACGCUGGCGGCGUGCCUAAUACAUGCAAGUCGAGCGAACAGACGAGGAGCUUGCUCCUCUGACGUUAGCGGCGGACGGGUGAGUAACACGUGGAUAACCUACCUAUAAGACUGGGAUAACUUCGGGAAACCGGAGCUAAUACCGGAUAAUAUAUUGAACCGCAUGGUUCAAUAGUGAAAGACGGCUUUGCUGUCACUUAUAGAUGGAUCCGCGCCGCAUUAGCUAGUUGGUAAGGUAACGGCUUACCAAGGCAACGAUCCGUAGCCGACCUGAGAGGGUGAUCGGCCACACUGGAACUGAGACACGGUCCAGACUCCUACGGGAGGCAGCAGUAGGGAAUCUUCCGCAAUGGGCGAAAGCCUGACGGAGCAACGCCGCGUGAGUGAUGAAGGUCUUCGGAUCGUAAAACUCUGUUAUUAGGGAAGAACAAAUGUGUAAGUAACUAUGCACGUCUUGACGGUACCUAAUCAGAAAGCCACGGCUAACUACGUG
This 497-nucleotide ribosomal RNA is filed under the name uncultured bacterium. RNAcentral describes it as "partial 16S ribosomal RNA". It matches the Rfam family "Bacterial small subunit ribosomal RNA", at positions 28 to 507 of the family's 1533-position model. The record is from RNAcentral.